GAGUACAGGAAGUGCAGGUUGCCCACAUUGUCUAUGUAGUUUGCAGGACUUAGCCAAGGCAGGACCAGCAAGAGUAGAGCCUUCAUUCUCAGGGCAGGGCCGGCACUGCUGCAGGGUC
This is a non-coding RNA of Tinamus guttatus (white-throated tinamou), 118 nucleotides long. NCBI's taxonomy places the organism in Eukaryota, Metazoa, Chordata, Aves, Tinamiformes, Tinamidae. The record is from RefSeq and is a predicted model, not a curated record.